CACGUAGGGGUCUAGCGUUGUCCGGAAUUAUUGGGCGUAAAGAGCUCGUAGGCGGUUUGUCGCGUCGGCUGUGAAAACUCGGGGCUCAACCCCGAGCCUGCAGUCGAUACGGGCAGACUAGAGUGCUGUAGGGGAGACUGGAAUUCCUGGUGUAGCGGUGAAAUGCGCAGAUAUCAGGAGGAACACCGGUGGCGAAGGCGGCCUUCUGGACGAGUGACUGACGCUGAGACGCGAAAGCGUGGGGAGCAAACAGG
RNAcentral lists this ribosomal RNA (254 nucleotides) under uncultured bacterium. RNAcentral describes it as "partial 16S ribosomal RNA". It matches the Rfam family "Bacterial small subunit ribosomal RNA", at positions 524 to 776 of the family's 1533-position model. The record is from RNAcentral.